UCACAUGUACUAGUUCUUAUAUUGUUAAUGGGCAAGAUUGGGUAGAAGGCAUCUAACAGACUUCCGGGAUAUCUCGAUUAAGCGCGGGUGGCGCUCCCGAGGUCGGGGCGUGACAUUAAUCAUGAAACAAAACACAUACUUAUCAGAUGGACCUCAACUUUUUGAUUACUCAAAAUCUUUUCCGUUGAGAUCCUCAAUUUGAUUCCGAUGGAGUUAUCCCUAUCCUUCGAUUCCCGCCUCUUUUGAGUUUACCUGCUGCUUUCCUACGCCUAUAAAAGGGUAGAUUACGAUGCAUAAAUAUGUAUCCAAACUUGUUAAGAUACAUAUUCAGCCCUCUUUGCAUGGUAGCAGUUGACAGCUGGUUCAAGACCUUAGGCAUCUACUGAUGUUAAGUUAUCUACUUCACAAUUCUCGCGAGACUUGCCACCUUUAAUAGCAGUGUCGGAGGCGUAACAUCAUUCGUCGCAGCAACGCCUUGCUUCAUUCUGGUGAGGAUAAAUUUCUUUUCCAAGUGCUAGGACCAGGUACGACCUCAAAUUCUUGAAACAGGACUAUGCUGCAGGUGCUACAUCAUAUAUAAAAGUAGCUGCCAUGUUUUAGGCAAAUUUCAAAACUUAACUUCGAAUUCAGUUACUGAUCCUUCAACUUUGCGCGUCUUCACAAGAAAAAACAUAUCUUUUUGCACAUAUAUUGAAAUUGCAAUCCGUCUUUGGUGUCAUGAAGUAGACUUUCCGAGACUACAAUCUACACCAGAAUCAGGUUCAAAUUCCCCGUGAAUUUACACAGGUAAUCUUCUGAACUCAGCUCUGGAUUUUGGGUGCUCUAUUUUUUACAGCUUUGCGCGCGCUGACUAAAAAAAUCAUAUCUUUCUGCAAGACACAUCCAAACCAUAAUCCUCUUACACCGUUGGAAAGAAACUUCUGGGACUAUAUAUAUACAAAAUUCAGAUCCAGAUUCUAAGUAUAUUUGUACAGAUACUUGUUUGAACUCAGUACUAGAUUUCUGGCGUUCUGUUUUUUACAGCUCUGCACGCCCCGACUAAAAAAAUCAUAUUUCUUUGCAGACACGUUGAAACCACAAUCCGCUUACACCGUUGGAAAGGGAACUUCUGGGACUACAAUAUAUACAAAAAUCAGAUCCAGAUUCUAAGUAUAUUUACACGUUGAAACCUCAAUCCGCUUGCGCCGUUGGAAAGAGGACUUCUGGAACUAUAAUAUCCAUAAAAAUCAGUUCUGGAGAGUUACAACUUGAUUUUGAUAUCAAACUGUAGACAAUAAAUUGCGUCAAGAAAAUAAUCGAGACCGAAAACAUAUUGCAACAAUCGUAGUAUUUUAUUUCAA
Nicotiana tabacum (common tobacco) is the source of this 1340-nucleotide non-coding RNA. NCBI's taxonomy places the organism in Eukaryota, Viridiplantae, Streptophyta, Magnoliopsida, Solanales, Solanaceae. The record is from RefSeq and is a predicted model, not a curated record.